RNAcentral lists this ribosomal RNA (460 nucleotides) under uncultured bacterium. RNAcentral describes it as "partial 16S ribosomal RNA". It matches the Rfam family "Bacterial small subunit ribosomal RNA", at positions 338 to 795 of the family's 1533-position model. The record is from RNAcentral.
CCUACGGGCGGCAGCAGUGAGGAAUAUUGGUCAAUGGACGAGAGUCUGAACCAGCCAAGUAGCGUGAAGGAUGACUGCCCUCUGGGUUGUAAACUUCUUUUAUAAAGGAAUAAAACGCGGCACGUGUGCCUUUUUGCAUGUCCUUUAUGAAUAAGGAUCGGCUAACUCCGUGCCAGCAGCCGCGGUAAUACGGAGGGUCCGAGCGUUAUCCGGAUUUAUUGGGUUUAAAGGGAGAGUAGAUGGGUUGUUAAGUCAGUUGUGAAAGUUUGCGGCUCAACCGUAAAAUUGCAAUUGAUACUGGCAGUCUGGAGUGCAGUUGAGGUAGGCGGAAUUCGUGGUGUAGCGGUGAAAUGCUUAGAUAUCACGAAGAACACCGAUGGCGAAGGCAGCUUACUAAACUGUGACUGACAUUGAUGCUCGAAAGUGUGGGUAUCAAACAGGAUUAGAUACCCCUGUAGUC